This 85-nucleotide transfer RNA is filed under the name secondary endosymbiont of Ctenarytaina eucalypti. RNAcentral's name for it is "tRNA-Ser (TGA) (tRNA-Ser-TGA-1-1)". It matches the Rfam family "tRNA". Rfam says of the family: Transfer RNA (tRNA) molecules are approximately 80 nucleotides in length. Their secondary structure includes four short double-helical elements and three loops (D, anti-codon, and T loops). Further hydrogen bonds mediate the characteristic L-shaped molecular structure. tRNAs have two regions of fundamental functional importance: the anti-codon, which is responsible for specific mRNA codon recognition, and the 3' end, to which the tRNAs corresponding amino acid is attached (by aminoacyl-tRNA synthetases). tRNAs cope with the degeneracy of the genetic code in two manners: having more than one tRNA (with a specific anti-codon) for a particular amino acid; and 'wobble' base-pairing, i.e. permitting non-standard base-pairing at the 3rd anti-codon position. Lineage: Bacteria; Pseudomonadati; Pseudomonadota; Gammaproteobacteria; Enterobacterales; Enterobacteriaceae. The record is from Rfam by way of RNAcentral.
GGAGGUGUGGCUGAGUGGUUGAAGGCACCGGUCUUGAAAACCGGCGAAGGGUAACCUUUCGUGAGUUCGAAUCUCACCUCCUCCG